RNAcentral lists this microRNA precursor (103 nucleotides) under Canis lupus familiaris (dog). Its description in RNAcentral is "mir-8834 microRNA precursor family". It matches the Rfam family "mir-8834 microRNA precursor family". Lineage: Eukaryota; Metazoa; Chordata; Mammalia; Carnivora; Canidae. The record is from Rfam by way of RNAcentral.
AGGAGGAACAGCCCCAGUGGCGGGGCAGCUCUGGAGCCCUGGAUUCAGACCCCGCAGGAACUAUGGAGCUCUCGGUCUGCAGGGCCUGGAGGCUCGGGGCGGG